RNA transcript from Camelus dromedarius (Arabian camel), 7222 nucleotides. It is a transcript of the gene named PRKR interacting protein 1, with no coding region annotated. The transcript has 7 exons. The record is from RefSeq and is a predicted model, not a curated record. NCBI's taxonomy places the organism in Eukaryota, Metazoa, Chordata, Mammalia, Artiodactyla, Camelidae.
CUGUCGUCAUACGCGCGCGCCACCACCGCUCGCCUGGGAAGCCGGCGAGCUGUAGAGCUGUCAUGGCGAGCUCCGCGGCCUCCUCGGUGCGACCGCCGAGGCCCAAGAAAGAGCCGCAGGCCCUCGUCAUCCCGAAGAAUGCGGCGGAGGAACAGAAGCUCAAGCUGGAACGGCUCAUGAAGAACCCGGACAAAACAGUUCCAAUUCCAGAAAAAAUGAGCGAAUGGGCACCUCGACCUCCCCCAGAAUUUGUCCGAGAUGUAAUGGGUUCAAGUGCUGGGGCUGGCAGCGGAGAGUUCCAUGUGUACAGGCACUUGCGCCGGAGAGAGUACCAGCGGCAGGACUACAUGGAUGCCAUGGCUGAGAAGCAAAAAUUGGAUGCAGAGUUUCAGAAAAGACUAGAAAGGAAUAAAAUUGCCGCGGAGGAACAGACUGCAAAGCGUCGGAAAAAGCGUCAGAAGUUAAAAGAGAAGAAAUUAUUGGCAAAGAAAAUGAAACUUGAGCAGAAGAAACAAAAAGAAGGCCUGCCUGCCAAAGAAACCCAGGGUGAUCUUAAGUGACUAAGUACAUCAAGAGCAGUUUCUCAAAGUUGGGGAGGAGAAAAGAAGUGGUAAGGGACGUGGAGGUAACUAACUUCCUGUUACAAAAUAAAUGAGCCACAGGUAUGAAAUAUAUAGUGUGGGGAAUAUAGUCAAUAACUAAUGUUUUUGUAUGGUGACAGAUGACAGCUGGACUUAUAAUGGUGGUCAUUUUGAAGUGUAUAGAUAUAUCAAAUCACUGUGUUGUGUCCCAGGAACUGAUGUAGAAUUCUGGGUCAAUAAUACUUCAGAAUAAACAAACGAACAAACUCAUAGAAAAAAGAUCAGAUUUGUGGCUGCGGAGGCAAGCGGGUAGGAGGAAGGGGAAUUAGAUCUUCAUCUAGUCAAAAGGUAUAAACUUCUGGUUACAAAUAAAUAAGUACUGAGGCUGUAAUGUACAACGUGACAAAGAUAAUUAACACUGCUUUACAUUAUAAAUGAACAUUGUUAAGAGAGUUCUUAUCAAAAGGAAAAAAUUUCUUCUACUUUAAUAUUGUAUCUAUGUGAGAUGAUAGAUGUUCACUAAACCUAUUGUAGUCAUCAUUUCAAAAUUGAGUGAAGGAAAAAAAAAAAACUCCAAAAAAAAAAAAAACUGGGUGGGGAAAAAAGCAGUUUCUCAGCCUCAGCACUCUUGAUGCUUUGGACCAGAUAAUUCUCUUUGUAAGGGAUUAUAUCCUGUUCAUUGUAGGAUAUUGAACAACAUCGUGGCUUCUACCCACUACAUGCCAGCAGCACCCAUCCUCCCCUCAGUCGCUGACAACUGAAAAUGUCUCCAGGCUUUGCCACAUGUUCCCUGGUGGGGGAGGGGGACAAAAUUUUCCCAAGCAAUAAGAUUCAUAUCUCAAGUAGGAUCUGAUGCUCAGAAGGCACUCAGUUUGUGUUUUGUAUUGAACUAGUUGUUUCAGUGCCAAAAUUCUUGUACAUACAAUGUUGGAAAACUAUUCAUAUCCGUUGUGUCUUUUGAGAAUAAAGGUAAUAUAUGAUCAUUUUAGAAAUUUUUAGAAUAUGCAGAAAAGAAUAAAGUCAGAAAUUUAAAUUACCUAUAAUUCUUACUAAAAAAAUCACUAGCAUUUUCAUAUUUAUUUCAAUUUUUAGUAUUAUAUAAACCUAUUUAUGUAAUUACCAUAUUUAUAGUUGUUCUAAUUUUAUCAUAUAACAUUGCAUCACAAAUAUUUUCACAUGUCCUUGCAAUUUCGUAGUACAAGGAAGGAUUUUUGUCCCCCCUAGUCUGUUCACUCAUCUAGUUUAAAAAAAAAGUUAAUGUCAGUUCUACUUAAAACUCAGUGCCGUUUUACCUAGUAUUCCUAUGAUCUGUGAAUAAAAUCUCAGGUUCCUAGAUUUUAAGAUACUAUGUAAACAAUAGUAUAAGUAAUAAAAGCUCAAACAUCAUCAUCCGAAUCUGUCACCUUUCUAUCCAUUUUCUUUUAAUCUCUCCAUAUGCACAUGUCAUUUGUAUAUCGUUAUAGUGUAUGAACAGUUUUCCAUUUUGCUUAUUUUACUUAACAUUAUAAGCAUUUCCAGUCCUUCAUAAUUCUUUCAGUGACUCAUAAUAUCCAGCAAUUGACAUAUCGUGAUAUCCCUAACCCUCUCCUUUUUGUUAGAUACUGGAUUGAUUCCAGUGUUUUUCUUCUUUGGAAGAUAUUUUAUUGAAUUUAUGUACCUGUCUCCCUUCCCCCUUUCUGGGUCAUUUCCUUCAGAUAAAGUUCCAGCAGUGGGAAUUACUAGACCACAGAGUAUAAAAAGAUUUCAUAGUUCUUGAAAUGUAUUGCCAGUUUCUUCCCGAAGGAAUGGCACCAGUUUUUACUGCCGUCAGCAGUGUGCAAUGGUGUACACUUUUACUGUCUCCUUGCCAGCACUGGCUUUUAAAAAUUAUUCCUCCACAGGAAUAAGUAUGUGACUUCAGAGGAAGUCAAAGUCUCAUUGAGGGUUUAGUAAAAACCUUAUAACAAUAUCGAUCCCGAUCCGGCAGAGCUAUGGUAGCAGCCUCCACUCUCUUCCUCGCCGACCCCCACGCCACCCACCUUGUACAGCCUCCCUCCAAAGCUCUUGUUAAAACAGAGAUUGGAUUGUCAUUUGUUCUCCUCCUAAUAUAAGUAUUUAGCAUCUAUUGAACAUUUAUUAUGUAGCCCCAGUCCUGAGUGCUUUGCAGGUACUAACUAACAUAAUCCUCACAGCGGCCCUGUGAGACAGGCAGUGAUGUUAUCCCCAUCUUACAACUGAGGGAUCCUAGGGAACAAGCGGUAACAGCACCCGCAGAGCUAGUGGGAGUGAGUGAGGGGCCGGGAUCUGAUCCCAGAUGGUGCGUCUCCGCUGCCUUGUGCUUACCCACGAGGUGAUCUUGCUUGAACCCCCGUCAGCAGCCCCUCAUUCCCACCCGUGCUGGGGUCUCCACCAUUGUGUUCUGGCCACUCCCUUGCAUGUUUCCUCCGCUCUUGCCAAGCUUACACCUCUGUUCUCCCACCUCGCUGUACAUGCUCAGGCCUCUGUUCUCUUUCUUUUUCUUGCUCCCUGACUCCCCAUCUGCCUGGAAAGCUGCUUCUCAUCUUGCACCUUCCUCCCUUGGUAAAGCCUUUCCUAACGUCUCUCACCACCCCAGCCUCCACCUUGCUCCCAGAGGGUUUUGCACAUGCUUGGUUAUAGAAUCUGCUAAAUCACAUCAUGUGCUUAUCUAUUCACCUGCAGUCUCAGUUCCAUGAGGGUAGGCAGUGUCUUUUUUUUUUUUUUUUAAAUUAAAAAACUGUUUUAGAAUGGUUUUAGAUUUAUAGAAAUAGUGCAGAGAUAGUAUAGUACAAAGAAUUCCCAUAUACCCAGUUUUUCUUGUUAACAUCUUAAGUUAAUGUGGUUCAUUUGUCACAACUGAUGAACCAAUAUUGAUACAUGUAUUAGUUAAAGCCCAUACUUUACAUUUCUUUAAUUUUUUUACCUAAUGCCUUUUUCUUGUUCCAGAAUCCCAUCCAGGAUAUCACAUUACAUUUACUCAUCAUGUAUCCUUAGGCUCCUGUUGGCGCUGACGGUUUCUCACUCUGUUUUGAUGACCCUGAGAGGUUUGAGGGUCAGGUGUUGUGUCAGAUGUCCCUCAGUUUGAAUUUUUCUGAUGUUUUUCUCAUGAUUGGACUGGAGUUGUUUAUCUUGGGGAGGAAGACCACAGAGAUAAGUGCCAUUCUUAAUGUCAGGGCGGGAUCCUUGUCAAGAUGACUUGUCACUGUGGAUUUGACCUUGAGCGGCUGCUCAGGCUGUGCCCAUCAGGGUUCUCCACCUUGAAGUUGCUCUUUUCUUCCCCCUUCCCACGCUGUGCACUUCGGAAAGUGGUGACUGUGCGCAGCCCACACUGAAGGAGUGCGGGUGCUGUGCACUCCCUCCAUGAGGAUGGAGGGGCUGCGUGAGUUGCUGGGAACUCUUCUGCACAGGGUUGCCUCUCCUCCCUCAUUUCUUCCUUUAUACCAGCAUGGACUCAGGGAUAUUUAUUUUGCACUUCAGGUUUAACCCGGUACUGCUCUUCUUGCUCAGACUGGUCCAGCUUUGGCCAUUGGGAGCUCUUUCAUUUGGCUCCUGUGCUCCUUUUACAUUCUCCCAUCAUUGUGGGGUGUUGGGGGGUUUUGUUUUGUUUUUAACAGCACUUCCUGACUUCCUGGUACCACAAGGUAGUCCAUACUUACCUUGAGUAUUUCCUGCCCCUCACCUAGAGUCAGCCAUUUCUCCAAGAGUCCUUUUCUUUUUUACUAGAGACUGAAAUAAUUUUGUUGUAUUACCAAAGGAUUUGAAUGAGCCCCAGAUUCCUAGGUUUCUCCUCUUUGAGAGUGAUACUUCAAAGCCCCAACAACGUCUCCUACACACAGAAUGAACUAUGUUUACUAUUAAGGGAGGCACUACAUUUUCAGGAGCUUGUCAGCCACAAGAAAUGCUUUGAGCCCUCCUCUGUUAAUCAGCAUCUCGGGCCUCCAGAACACCCCAUUCCACAAACAUCCACGUUAAUGAGCAUUUUACUGUUUCUUUAAGAGCAGAAGGAACGGUCAGAUCCUAUGCUCUCGUUCUUUUGUGCGCAGACCUAUGUGGAUAUGGUUGGUGGUUCUUAGAGAGGCUUGAUGCUGACAGAAUGUGACUAAGUUAUGGAACAAAACACAUAAUCAGCAGCUUCAGCCUUGGAGCCCAGAUUCUAGAGCAGAGCCCCCAACCGGUGUGUGAGGAGUGAACCCAAGUGGCAGAGACCCUGAUGCUCUCGCCUUCGGGGUGGAGACAGGGCCCGUGGCCUCGGACCAGUUGCCCCACGCGCCAUAGAAAUGUUCUUUUCCACACGCACCCCAACAUGGGGGCAUGGGGAGUACUGGCCCUGGGGUCCAGGGAGCUCGAGCUUUGCUUUUGAUCCGUCUCUAGUUUUUCACUCAUCUCUCCUUAGCAUCUUUUUUCUUUCUUGUUUAAAAUUUUGGUAAAAUACACAUAACACAAAAUGUACCAUCUUAGCCAGUUUUAAGUGUACAGUUCAGGGGUACUAAAUAGUCACACCGUUGUGCAGCCGUCAUCAUCACAUCAUCAUCUAUCCUCAGGACGCUUUUCAUCGUGUAAAACGAAAACUAUCUGUUCAACAACAACCCCCGGUCCCUGCUCCUCCCAGCACCUGGCAGCCCCCCUUCUCUUUCUGUCUCUGAAUCUGCUACUCUGAGUAACUCAUGUAAGAGGAACCAUAGAGAACUUGCUGUUGUGUGACUGGCCCGUUUCACUGACAGUAACGUCCUCAGGGUUCAUCCGUGUUGCAGCCUGUGUCAGAAUUUCCUUCCUUUUUGGGGCUGAAUCUGCACCACGUGGCUAGACCACAUUUUGCUCACCCAUCCCGUGUGCUGACCUCAUUCCUGUUUUCACCUCAUUUUUCUUUUGCCUCUGUUUCCUUAUUGCAUUUCUGCAAGCAAGGUAGGCAGAGGCUUAGAAAGUCAGUCCAGGUUUGAAACCUGGGUACUGGUUUUGCUGAUUAUGAGACCUUGGGUAGCAGAUUACUUAACCUCACUGAGCUUCAUUCCUCACCUCUGAAAUGGAUAUAUACUGGCGUUACUUAUCGCAUAGACCGUCCUUAGAAUUAGACAGGACAGCAAGUGUAUGUGAAGACUUAGCCCAGUGCCUGGCACAAUGUUCAGCAAAUCUUAGCUGCUGAAGCAUGCUCAUCCUGUGUACUUUCAGAGCUUCUCAUUCUUUUUGGCAUGAGGUUGAGAAGAAGGAGGAUCCUAAAUUAAAUAGAGCUGAUUUCAACCCACUGCCAUGAGUGUGCUUUAGUGUCCUGCCCUAGGGUGUGAAGGUGAAUUUGAGACUGUGCUGCGCCCUGGGCACCCCAAGGCCUCCCGUCUUGAAGCUCUCUGUCUGGCCCUGAGAUGACAGCACUAGCAAAGCUCUGGGUGUCCGUGGGCUCUGGUGCUGGAGUGAGUUCCUGCACGUGCACAGGAGGGGGCCCAGGAUCCAAUCAGUCCCAGGAGCAGCGAUCCAGUAGCUCUGAGGAGGCAUCUGGAACGGAGGAGGAAGAGGAGGACCAGCCCAGCUUCAUCAUGGGGCGGUGACGAUGUUGCCACAGCAGCUGUCAGGAGCGUGGCCCGUUCUGUGACUGGGCCUCAGAAAACCCUCCACACGCCCCGAGGGGAAGGGACCUCUGUUUCAGCUUAGUUUCCCUACCAAAGCCUCGAUGGAUAGAAGCAAGCGGGAACCCAUCAGAGGGCUCACAGCCCCACUAUCGGAGAGAGGACCGUCUCCUGGACACUCGAGGGCACUGCCAAGCACGGUUUGUUCACAUUCCCGCUAAAAGGAAGGAAAAUGUAAAACCUGUGAACCACUGGUGCCUGUUCUCACAUAAUUGGAUGGUGAUGAGUUUGGGGCUUGCUUCUGUGAAAGGAAUGUUUUAUUCAGUAAAGAACAAAAAAACUUCAGGUUUUGUUCAGACCGGUGAAAUGAUUGCAGAAGCUGUCGUGAAGGUUGUGAAUGACAUGAUAGGAACGGGGCCUGUUCCUAGACCCAUUGACAGAAAUGGCCUUGGCUCUGGAGCUAACUCGCAGUGCAGGGCACACGGCCUCCCUCUCCUUCACCAGAGGGUGCACACUGCACCCCAGAAUGCAUGCUCCCGCCCAGCAGCUCCCAGCACACAGUGCAAAGGGGGACGUAGGACUUAACCACGGGCUGAGCCAGAAGAGAGGACCUUGAUGUGUGACAAUAAGCAGGUAGAGAAUCCAGGCGGGGCUGGACCAGAGCAGAUGAUCCAGGGAAUGAAUCCUCGCUGCACUGCAGGGAGGUGGAUGAAUUGGCCAAAAGCUGUAUUUUCAUCUGGAGGUAAAGGGGCUCUAAACAGAAAAUGAGAGGUGACUGAGGGCACCUUUCAGGCCAACAGGAAGGAGAGAUGGUUUCUAAUUAGAGCCUUUGCUCACUUUUUGGAUAUCUCCAAGUUUCUAGGUUUAUUUUGUACCUUUUAUGGAGUUUGAUACAAUUAAGAAAAAUAGUUUCCCUUCCCUCAAAGCCACUGAGAAACAUCUUUUUUUUCGUUUCCUGGCCCUACCCUGAGCCAUGUGACAUCUGUGAUAGCUUCUGUCUUUCCUCAGUUCAAGUCACAGGAAUUUUUCUUUCCCAGGAAGCUGAAGUGGAGAGUCAGCCCUAAUAAAUUAGCACACACCCUGACUGUA